CAGCCGCCACGGUAAUACAGAGGGUGCGAGCGUUAAUCGGAUUUACUGGGCGUAAAGCGUGCGUAGGCGGCUUCUUAAGUCGGAUGUGAAAUCCCUGAGCUUAACUUAGGAAUUGCAUUCGAUACUGGGAAGCUAGAGUACGGGAGAGGAUGGUAGAAUUCCAGGUGUAGCGGUGAAAUGCGUAGAGAUCUGGAGGAAUACCGAUGGCGAAGGCAGCCAUCUGGCCUAAUACUGACGCUGAGGUACGAAAGCAUGGGGAGCAAACAGGAUUAGAUACCCCUGUAGUCCCUGUCUCUUAUAC
This 301-nucleotide ribosomal RNA is filed under the name uncultured bacterium. RNAcentral's name for it is "partial 16S ribosomal RNA". It matches the Rfam family "Bacterial small subunit ribosomal RNA", at positions 509 to 807 of the family's 1533-position model. The record is from RNAcentral.